Long non-coding RNA from Equus quagga, 2535 nucleotides. RefSeq lists it as uncharacterized. The transcript is spliced from 2 exons. The record is from RefSeq and is a predicted model, not a curated record. Lineage: Eukaryota; Metazoa; Chordata; Mammalia; Perissodactyla; Equidae.
GUUAGGAGUGUAAGAGACUGCUUAUGUAUAAGUGCUUUGUCGUCGUGAUUUACAACGCAACAGCGGUAGAGUCUGGAAUCUGACGGCACAAGGGGCACUUAGAUCCGGGCAGACUGAAAACCAAAAAUGGAGUCACCAUUGCACAGAGCCUAGAAUGAGAGCAUUCCUCGCUGCCCACCCGUCUCUCUCUUCUCCAAGCAGAUUCUCCCCAGGACCUUCCUGUUGAGCUCGUUGUCGAAUGUUCCCAUUCUCAGAUGAUUCAGGCUCACUUUCUUUGUGAUGCUUCAGAUGUCUAACACAGAACUGCUGCCGUAUUUAGAAACCUCUGAGCAGCACCAUGGAAUGUGGACCUGCUUCCUGCAGCUCAGCUCCCUAGGUGCAAGACACAAGUGCCAGCCACUUCUCAUGGCAAAUCGGCUUGAUCCACCCGCACCAACAGCGACAGCAACAGGCCAAAUAUAGGCUGGGGUUCACGUUGGCUGGGGUAAGCGAGCUCACGCACUGAAGGAGGACGAGCUAGGACAAGUCGCUCACCACUUAGCCUAAUUGCCCUUUAUGGGUUUAGGGCUGUCUCCCUGCAGGAAGGAAAGAACGUGUGAGAUUCUGUGAACAUAUUUUCCUUUUCUCACUCCACACUCUCUCCUCUGGGUGAUCUCAUCCAGUCGCACCCUUUCUGAUGACUUCUAGAUCUCUAUCUUCAACCGAGAUGUUUUACCUGAGGUCUAAGCUACCUCCUGUUGACAGCUCUGCUCACUUGGAUGCUCCCAGGAUACUCAAACUCAACAGGUGCCAGGUCGGCGUCCUCACCUGCACACGCGCAGACCAGCUGCUCCCGUCCGCUGCCUCCCUCCGUUGCCGUGAGACUGCCCUGAAGGUUAUCACACAAGAGGGGCUCCUGCUGAGCGAGGACAGCACUCUCUGCGCCAAGAUCUCUCUGGGCCACCUCGUGAGAGCCUCAGAACUUUCCUACAGAGCUGGGACCUUUACCUCCACUUUUAAGGAGGAGGUUCUGAGAGGUGAGGCACCCACCUGCCUAAAGUGACAGAGCCAGGGUUCUAACCCAGGGGAUCGCGUUCCACGACGUAACCACGACGUGCCCACCAUGGCCUUCACUUCUCCCUUGCCACGACUUCAGUCCCGAGGUAACUUUCCGAUGCAGCUUACUUUCAGGAUCUCAAGGGCAAAAAGUUUCCCAGCGUGGACUCCACUACCCACACGAAGCUUCCUUCUCGGGAUGGGCUCCGGGCAAAUGCGGAGGAGGUGCCGAUGGAUGAUGUCAAGUCCGAGGGCCCAAAUGUCUCGCUUUCUCAGUUAGUGGACUUUUAAGUGCCACACAUGAAAGUGUUACCAAUGUUGGGAGUUACAGAUGUAAUGUCAAUACAUAACCAUUCCUUCCAGAUUUUUUUUUUUUGCAUCAAACAUGUAUGUAUGUUAAUCUCAGGGAGGAAGAAAAGAAGGGAAAGUGGGAAAAUAAAACAACAAUGGAGUAGGGAAAAAAAGAGGAAAAGAAAAGAAAUUGUUUAGACUUGUCUCUGGCCAUCCAGGCUAACCAGCUCCCUGGGCAGAGGCCCCUACUGCAGUCCCACAGGCCGUCCUUAGACUGGGGUUCCUGCCUGGCUAACGACCGGGCCUUCAUCUCUGUAGUGCCUGCUCAGAACGUUGAACAGAGAUGGAGCUCAGCAAAGGUGGUGGGUUGAGUCAAAUGUGGGCCAGGAUACGCACAGUGUGCUGCUACUCGGCCAGUUCGAGGCUAACAGUCCCCGAGACUUCUCCCUGUUGAGGUGUGAGGUCAUUCUUAGCGAGACUAAGAUUUUAGAGACUUGAGAAGAAGAAUGAUGUCAUGAUUUAAGCAGUUCUCGAGGAAACACAUGGGGUUUCUCGGCCAUAUAUUCUCAGCUUUUUGGCUCAUUUGGCACAUCUCCAUGCUGAAUGUGAAAGCAAAUGUCAAGCGUGGUUAUUAUAUAUGGAGAAUUUCACCUCCCGGGACUCACAUCCCUCAUCUGGAAAUGAGAGGUAGACCAGAUGUUCCCUACGGGCUCUCUCGCACUCCUGCUCGCUGCUUUGUGUAUUUUGGACAGUUAUAUUUCACUUUUCAUUUACUACAAACUGAAAAGAGUGAAAAAGGACAACAUCCAGCCUCCCAUUUCCCAACCACGGUACAGCUCACCUACAAAUGGGAUGUCUACAGGAUUAUGUUACCUCGGACGGCAUAAAAAGAAGAGGUCAGCAUUCUGAGGAGCCGCUUGGGUUGUGGCCUUCCAGAUAAGCCCCGUGGGCAGGCAUUCGCAACGACUGCCCUGUGUCAUGGACAAAAGGAUUAUUCCAGGCCUUUUGAGAAGCCAAAACCAGCUAUGGUAUUCCAGCACUUCUAACUCUAUUUGCAUUUUCAGCCAGGAUGUGUGUGUUGUUUUUUAGUUCUUUCUGUGUUUUAUUUUUCCUUUCCUUUUCAAGCAAGUAAUUUAUAAAUGACAUUUCCUUAGGCCUCUUUUAUUUUUGAAGUUACACAAUAUUGCAAAUAAACUCUCGGAUGCUCAA